Molecule: ribosomal RNA, 216 nt
Filed under: Glomeromycotina sp.
Lineage: Eukaryota; Fungi; Glomeromycota
Description: partial small subunit ribosomal RNA
Rfam family: Eukaryotic small subunit ribosomal RNA (bases 44-216)
Source: RNAcentral
GGGUCAGUAGGUUGGUCGUGCCACCGGUACGUACUGGUCUCACUGAUUCCUCCUUCCUGAAGAACCGUAAUGCCAUUAAUUUGGUGUUGCGGGGAAACAGGACUGUUACUUUGAAAAAAUUAGAGUGUUUAAAGCAAGCUAACGCUCGAAUACAUUAGCAUGGAAUAAUGAAAUAGGACGAUCGAUCCUAUUUUGCUGGUUUCUAGGAUUGACGUA